RNAcentral lists this non-coding RNA (31 nucleotides) under Homo sapiens (human). Lineage: Eukaryota; Metazoa; Chordata; Mammalia; Primates; Hominidae. The record is from RNAcentral.
UGAUCUGGGCCGACAUGGUCUGCUUCUCAAU